Molecule: ribosomal RNA, 254 nt
Filed under: uncultured bacterium
Lineage: Bacteria
Description: partial 16S ribosomal RNA
Rfam family: Bacterial small subunit ribosomal RNA
Source: RNAcentral
UACAGAGGGGGCAAGCGUUGUUCGGAAUUACUGGGCGUAAAGGGCGCGUAGGCGGCCGCCUAAGUCAAACGUGAAAUCCCUCGGCUUAACCGGGGAACUGCGUCUGAUACUGGAUGGCUUGAGAUUGGGAGAGGGAUGCGGAAUUCCAGGUGUAGCGGUGAAAUGCGUAGAUAUCUGGAGGAACACCGGUGGCGAAGGCGGCAUCCUGGACCAACACUGACGCUGAGGGAGCGAAAGCCAGGGGAGCAAACGGG